Molecule: ribosomal RNA, 484 nt
Filed under: Bacillus cereus
Lineage: Bacteria; Bacillati; Bacillota; Bacilli; Caryophanales; Bacillaceae
Description: bacterial SSU rRNA
Rfam family: Bacterial small subunit ribosomal RNA
Source: RNAcentral
UGAGUAACACGUGGGUAACCUGCCCAUAAGACUGGGAUAACUCCGGGAAACCGGGGCUAAUACCGGAUAACAUUUUGAACCGCAUGGUUCGAAAUUGAAAGGCGGCUUCGGCUGUCACUUAUGGAUGGACCCGCGUCGCAUUAGCUAGUUGGUGAGGUAACGGCGCACCAAGGCAACGAUGCGUAGCCGACCUGAGAGGGUGAUCGGCCACACUGGGACUGAGACACGGCCCAGACUCCUACGGGAGGCAGCAGUAGGGAAUCUUCCGCAAUGGACGAAAGUCUGACGGAGCAACGCCGCGUGAGUGAUGAAGGCUUUCGGGUCGUAAAACUCUGUUGUUAGGGAAGAACAAGUGCUAGUUGAAUAAGCUGGCACCUUGACGGUACCUAACCAGAGAGCCACGGCUAACUACGUGCCAGCAGCCGCGGUAAUACGUAGGUGGCAAGCGUUAUCCGGAAUUAUUGGGCGUAAAGCGCGCGCAGGU